UUCUGUACCAUACUGUCCUGUACUUC
This 26-nucleotide non-coding RNA is filed under the name Homo sapiens (human). The record is from RNAcentral. Lineage: Eukaryota; Metazoa; Chordata; Mammalia; Primates; Hominidae.